UUUCCAGACUCCUACGGGAGGCAGCAGUGAGGAAUAUUGGUCAAUGGGCGAGAGCCUGAACCAGCCAAGUCGCGUGAGGGAGUACUGCCCUAUGGGUUGUAAACCUCUUUUGUCGGGGAGCAAAAGCCGGACGUGUCCGGCUGUGAGAGUACCCGAAGAAAAGGCAUCGGCUAACUCCGUGCCAGCAGCCGCGGUAAUACGGAGGAUGCGAGCGUUAUCCGGAUUUAUUGGGUUUAAAGGGUGCGUAGGCGGGCUUUUAAGUCAGCGGCAAAAAUUCGGGGCUCAACCCCGUCCGGCCGUUGAAACUGGGGGCCUUGAGUGGGCGAGAAGAAGGCGGAAUGCGUGGUGUAGCGGUGAAAUGCAUAGAUAUCACGCAGAACUCCGAUUGCGAAGGCAGCGUACCGGCGCCCAACUGACGCUGAAGCACGAAGGCGUGGGUAUCGAACAGGAUUAGAUACCCGUGUAC
This 466-nucleotide ribosomal RNA is filed under the name uncultured bacterium. RNAcentral describes it as "bacterial SSU rRNA". It matches the Rfam family "Bacterial small subunit ribosomal RNA", at positions 328 to 793 of the family's 1533-position model. The record is from RNAcentral.